This 2408-nucleotide long non-coding RNA is filed under the name Mus musculus (house mouse). RNAcentral's name for it is "long non-coding RNA chr9:3425071-3427479". Lineage: Eukaryota; Metazoa; Chordata; Mammalia; Rodentia; Muridae. The record is from RNAcentral.
CUUUGUUUAGUGCAUUUGGUGUUUUGAUUAUUAUGUGACGGGAGACAUUUCUUUUUUGUUCCAGUCUAUUUGGAGUUCUGUAUGGUUCUUGUAUGUUUAUGGACAUCUCUUUCUUUAGGUUAGGGAAGUUUUCUUCUAUAAUUUUUUGAAGAUAUUUACUGGCCCUUUAAGUUGGGAAUCUUCUCUCUCUUAUACCUAUUAUCCUUAGGUCUUCUCAUUGUGUCCUGGAUUUCCUGGAUGUUUUGGGUUAGGAGCUUUUUGCAUUUUCUUUGACUUUGCAUUUGCAUUCCUUUUGUCAAUGUUUUCUAUGGUAUCUUCUGCACCUGAGGUUCUCUUUUCUGUCUCUUGUAUUUUGUUGUUGAUGCUUGCAUCUAUGACUCUUGAUCUCUUUCCUAGGUUUUCUAAUUCCAGGGCUGUCUUUCUUUGUGAUUUCUUUAUUGUUUCUAUUUCAAUUUUUAGAUCCUGGGUAAUUUUGUUUCUUUUUUUUCACCUGUUUAAUUGUAUUUUCCACUAAUUCUUUAUGUGAUUUUUGUGUUUCCUCUUUAACAGCUUCUAGCUGUUUACCUGUGUUCUCCUGUAUUUCUCUAAGGGAGUUAUUUAUGUCCUUCUUAAAGCCCUCUAUCAUCAUCUUGAAAAGUGAUUUUAGAUUUGUAUCUUGCUUUUCUGAUGUGAUGGUGUAUUCAGGACUUUCUUUGGUCGGAGACUUGGGUUCUGGUGAUGUCAAGUAACCUUGGUUUCUAUUGUUUAUGUUCUUGCUCUUGCCUCAGGCCAUCUGGUUAUCUCUAGUGCUACCUGCCCAUGCUACAUCUGACUGGAGCCUGCCCUUCCUGUGAUCCUUGUCUUGUCAGAGCGCCUCAGAAUCCAACUCUUUCUGUGAUUCUGUGAUCCUGUGAUCCUACGAUCCUGGGCAUGUUAGAGUGCCUGGGAGUUGAUCUUCCUAUGGGUGUUAUGGUGCGAGCUGUGGGGUUCUUGUCCAAACUCUGUUCAGAGAACCUGCUCAGACCUGAAGGAACCCUUGCCAGUGUGGGCGUAGUCCUGCUGGUCCCAGUUACUCCUGGUGUUGGGAGAUAUGUUGUGUCCUCCUUACCUCUGAUUCUGGGUGUAUUAGAACCCCGGGAGUGGAGCUUCCUCUGGGUGUUGUGGGACUGGAUGUGAGUUUACGCCCAAGGUCUGCUCCCUGUUUUACAAGUUAUUGUGAAGAUUGAAAAAAGCUUCCAGGACUGUGUCUGGAAUCUAGUAACACGUCCAUAUUGAUAAUGGCCAAUAUUUUACUCUGUGAUGAAAUAUGACAGUUUUUGUUAACAAUUAGUAUAGCAUAUUUUUAGAAAUGAUUAAUCUUAGCUUUCUUCUUAGAAUACUAAAUGCAAACUAUUUUGUAGGCUAUGCAAUGUUCUUUUGUAUUUUAUUUGAAACCUGGUCUUCCCAGGCCAGUGUUCAUUAUUGUAGGUCCUUGAGAAGACUGCUUCAUUUUUUUUUAUUGUCUCCUUUUUCAUUUUUUGUUUUUAGGCUUUUUCAGUGAACACUUGUUGAUUCUUCUUCCUCCUCUUUCUUGCAUUUUCAGUAAGAUUCUUUGAAUUUAAAGGACCUUUAAAGGUGCUGUUAAUUAGCUGCAUUAUUUAACAGGAAGACACAACGGUUCAAAUAAAUGAAUGACUUGCUUUUUGAUGUUAAAACAAUUUAGUAGUAGCAGGAGACUGAAGUCUAGGAUUUCUGAUGCGCGCUCUCUCUCUCUUGUUUUCUCUCUCUUUCUUUUUUUUUUUUUUUUCUUUUUUGGUAUUUCUGUACUGAUUUGUCUUCUGAAAGAAAUAGGAGAAAUUUCUGGGGUUCAUUUGGUGGUUUUUUGUUUAUUACAGCAUAACUUGUUAGAACUAGGAAAUUAAAAUGUAAUUUUAGACUUAUUAAAAAAAAAGGUUUGGGAUAUAGUUAUAUAUUAAGUGUGUUAUACCACUGAGUUUAUGGGUUAGAACCAUGCUUAUUCAUGUUUUUUGAUCAUACUACAUUUUACAGUUUUCGUGAAUGAUAAAUAUUCAUUAAAAACAUGUUAGUUGAAUCUGAGGAUGCUGCUGUAAAUUGUUUUGUUUUCUUUACAGUAUUAAAUUUGAUUCCUAAAGUUAGAUUGAAUUUGUUGGAAUUCCUGUUAGGUUCCCUUCACACACACCACAGAUUAUUUUUGUUUUUCUGUAUUUCUUUUGGGACUGGACCUUAGUGGCAGUUGAGGGCAUUUUCAUGAGGCUCAGUUGUUAUUUUAUUAAUCUCAUUCAUGCUUCUCUGGAUUCAUUGAUCUAAUUAUGUAGCUGUACAUUAAUGAAGACAUUAAUUGCUGGGACAUCUUCACUUAUCAUCAUGCUAACUGAAGAUCUGGGCUAAGUUCCUUGAGUGCUUAUUCUAUAUAAUGUACAUAUAUAAUU